AGACUCCUAUGGCUUCUCUUCAUUGUCUGUAUCCUCUGAUCUUCUUCUUCUGCAAAAUCUAUUUUAUAAACUUGUAUUUAUCAUAUGCUAUCAUCUUCAUAGUAAGACAUCGGUUAUCUUUGUUCUAUAUUCUUAAUGACAAUGAUUUAAUCCAAUUGAGUUCUGUAACGGUACCGGCUUUACAUCAGUGGUCAGAAGAGCAGCCGGCGAUUCGAAACAGACAGUUGCAUCCAACAGAGAUUUGCCGGGAUUAAUCAUCUCCCCGUCAUAACUUUCGUCUCCAUCACGGAUUCAAUAAGCAUCCUCUGGAACAGAAUGCCAUUUGUGAAUCAUAUCCACAGUUUCCGGAAUCUAUAUACUGGUCCACGCUGAAGCUACCUCCUCCUACGCCGGAAAUUUCUCAGAGAAAUCUGUUGCCGUAAAAUCCGACCAUUUAGAACGAUGAUCGAUUCAACGAUCAUGUUAUCGACUGGAUAUCCAAACCAUUUUCUUAGAUAUUGCCAUACCACCACAGCUUAAGUGACCGUCGCGAACACUCUUGAUUCUUCAUAGAGAGUGACCUUGGGGAUUUUGUUGCGAUAGGACUGAUCAUUGCAAGAGACGAACACAUUUACAGUCGAAGCUUGAGGAGGUUAUCUUGGCAGAUGCUAAUGCCUAUUUAAUUCCAGAGAGUGGGAGGAGUGGUAUAGAAUACGUAAUGAUGGUGAUAAAGACGCUAACUGAAGACGUUACAGAGAGAUGAAGGUCAGAGAUGGUGAAAUCUGAAAAGACACAGCGAUUCGCUCUGCAAAUCUGCCAGCAAAAGUGAUGCAAAUCCUAACUAAAGUUGGGCCUCCUAUGAAAAACAAUAAAAGCCCAUUUCAUUAAUCAUAUUAUUAAUUGUUAGCCCAAAUUAAAAUACACUUUGCGAGAAAGCUUAUUCGUAUGAUUAACAAAGGAAGACACGUGUCAAAGAAUGCCCCAUGCUGAAUAAUGACGUGGAGUGCUGAGGUGAGAGAAAACUCUAUUUUAUUAUUAUAGAUUAUAGAUAUCAUAGGCUGAACAUAUAAGACCAACUCCAACGAGGGAAUGGUAAGAGGUCCUUAACUUUUUUUUAAAAAUGAAAAAUCAACAAAACAAAGAGAGAGAAACACACAAAAAUCCUAAUCUUACAACUUUUUAGAACCUUUACCAACCUCCAAAGUACAUGUGUUAAUCAGACAUUGUUUCAAACGAUUGUAAAAAGCAAAAAUAAUUAUAAUAUUAAUUACAAUGCUGUCCUAAGCAUGUCUGGAUAGGCUUGAGGCCAUUUUGAAUUUGGUAAAAUAAAAUAAGUAAUCAGCUAAAUAUGUUUACUUUUUUUUGUCGACAAGUAAAUAUAUUCACAUAUAAAAAUUAUUAGCAUACUAUCUCAAAUUUUGGUCAAACAAGUAUAAUAUCUAAAUUAUGCAAUAUUUAUUUUACUAUAUUUCACUAAUAAAUAUAGUAAAAUGUCAUGUAUCAUCAAUUACGUUUUUUUAUAAUUAUUCAGAUUUCUCUGUAUGUAAAAUUAAUAUAUUUUCUGGUCACAACACUUUUAAGUUGAACUAAAAAGAAGAGGCUUUGUUAUUUAUGAAGAACAAAAAUAACAUUUUCAAAUUUAUUUAAAACAAUGAAAGAAUACCCGUGCUUAGCACGGGAGAAACAUACUAGUACGGUAAUAACUCAUCAAUCAUCAUUAAAAUAAAUAUAUAAAAAUAUGGCAUUACAAACUUUGAAAUAUCAUUUAAUUAUAUAUUUUGAAUUAUACAAUUUUACUACUAAAAUUUUCAAAAAUGUAUAUAUAUUUUUUUGAAAAUUACAAAAAUUUAAUCGUAAAAUCAUUAGUUUCUUAUAUAUCUAUAAAUUUUAUAAAUAUUGUUUAGUUUUAAUUUUUGAUAAUUAUGCAGGUUUUUACAAAUAUAUUUAAUUAAAAUAAAUAUAUAUAAAAAUCUAUCUAAGCUUAUAAUUUUAAAUAUAUACAUGCAUAUUCUUAAAUAUAAUUUAAAAUAAACAAAAUAAUUUUUAUCUUAAUUUUUAUGUUUAAUUAAAUCAAAUUUAUAUUAAAAUGCAGACAACAUACUUUCAUGGCUGAAAUGUUUGCGAAUUUCGAUUGUGAUAUUUUAAAUAUAAUUUAUAUUUAUCUGUUAAAAUUUUUUUAAAUUUUUUUCUCCACAUGGUGCAGGAAAACACCUAGUAUGUGAGUAAAAAGCUUGUCAUGUAAUAUUUUCAUGGAAAAUUGUCACAAAUGACACAUUUAUAGUACUACUUUUCAUAUUUAUACUAAUCACUUUUACCAUCAAUUUUAAUGAAGGAUAAAAGAUACUUAUACCCUUAGGGUUAACUAAUAUAGACUUAGGUUUAGAGUCGAGGUGUGGGGUAGGAUUUCUGGAAUGUGAAAAUUAAGAUUAUAAUAAAUAUAUAAAUAAGUACUUAAAAAAUAUUUAAAAAAAUUUCAAAAAUAGUUUCAAACAUAAUUUUCGAUUUUCAAAAAGAAAUUUUGAAAAAAAAUCAAAAAAAUAAUUAUAAAAAUGUUCGAAUUUGAAAAAGUAUAAUUCGAAAACAUUAUUUUUUUAAUUCUUUUAUUUAUUUAAAUAAUGAUUUAUUAUAUAUAUAUAACAAAUGUAUAAAAACCUUUUGUCACUUAACUAAGAAUGUAAUUUUAAAAAUGUCUUUUUAGUAGUGGUAAAAACUAUAAGUGGUAUAAAGAAAGCUGUAAACCUAAAAUCGCCCUAUUUUCAUACAGAUGAGACAGAUAUUUGACAUAAAGUUUAUGGGCCUCAGAAACUAGAUCUCGUAACAAAGUGUGGCCCAACUCUCGGCCCAUCUCAAAGCUUCCGCUUUCACAACCUUCUCUUCGAUCAUCUCUCAGAGGACACGUCCGAUGCUUCUCCGAUCUCCAGAAUCGUCCCACUCGACAUAGCCAUUUGCAAGCAGAUCCACCGUCGCCGCGUUUCUGGCGAAUAAGGAGUAACAAGGAUCUGAUCUCAAUUGAGUUUUCGUGGCUAAGCUCCCACUCUACCGCAUCGGCUCGAUCCUUCACCAUACACUGAGAGCUUCUACACAUACGCCAUUGAACCCAAAGAAACACUUCAAAGAGUAGAAUCUGGAUCUCUUUCUCCGAUCCCGAUCUCUCCAGUACAUUUGGUCUCGUUAGAUAGGUAGGCUGAGUCUCUCGAUCCUCUUCCUCCUUCCCUUUAAGUUUCAAACUGUUCUACGUAUUAGCUCUUAAGUUUUAAUAGGUAGUUUUGCUGACUUGCGAUUCAAUGAGAUCUGAAUUGUAUGGUUUUGAAUUUGCAGCUCUACAUGCUUCGUGUGUGUAUUGGUGUUUGAGGACGAGUUAUGGGGUAUCAGAAUCACCAUCCAUCGGGAAGCAGCAACUCGUUCCAUGGAGGAGAGUUCAACAAACCGUCCAAAGUUGCUGUGGCGUCUAUGAUCAACUCCGAGAUCGGCGCAGUUUUGGCUGUGAUGAGGAGGAACGUGCGUUGGGGUGUCCGCUACAUUGCGGAUGAUGAUCAGUUGGAGCAUUCCCUUAUCCAUUCUUUGAAAGAAUUGCGUAAGCAGAUAUUCUCAUGGCAGAGCAAUUGGCAAAACGUUGACCCCAAGCUGUACAUACAGCCGUUUCUGGAUGUUAUACUCUCUGAUGAAACCGGGGCUCCCAUCACCGGCGUUGCUUUGUCCUCUGUCUACAAGAUCUUGACCCUUGAUGUUUUCACGCUUGACACCGUGAAUGUGGGAGAGGCGAUGCAUAUCAUAGUGGAUGCUGUGAAAAGCUGCCGUUUUGAGGUGACUGAUCCUGCCUCCGAGGAAGUGGUUUUGAUGAAGAUACUUCAGGUUCUUCUGGCUUGUAUAAAGUGUAAGGCGGCUAGUGGGUUGAGUAAUCAGGAUAUUUGCACCAUCGUCAACACUUGUUUGCGUGUUGUUCAUCAGUCUAGCUCCAAAAGUGAGUUGUUGCAGCGUAUAGCACGCCACACGAUGCAUGAGUUGGUUAGAUGCAUCUUCUCUCAGCUUCCUUGUAUCGGCCCGCUGGCUAAUGAAAGCGAAUUACCCGUCGGCGAUAAGGUGAUUCAAUUUGACCUUCCUUGCUAGAAUUUUUAUAUGUUUGUUCUAUAGAUAGAAUAUUUAACAUGUUUCAGUGACGCCAAAAGUCAUAUCGUAUUAUGAUUUAUCUGCUAUGCGUAUUGAUUGAUUGAAGAUGCCUCAUGACUAAGUUUAAUGGUGAAUUGGGUUGACCAUCUGUUUGUUUUCCACAAAUUUCUCACGGUAUUCUUUCUUGUCUAGGUGGGAACAGUGGAUUGGGAUCAGAAUUCUGGAGAAAACACAGUUGAAAAUGGAAGUAUUGAUACUCUCGGCGUUGAGAAAGAUUCUCCAAGUUCUGAGAUGGUUAUUCCAGAAACAGUAGUCAAAAAAGAUGAAAAGGGAGCUGAGGUCAGUGAUGACUUAAAUGUUGCUGCGAAUGGUGAAAAUGCAAUGUUGGCGCCUUUUGGUAUUCCAUGCAUGGUAGAGAUUUUUCAUUUCCUGUGUACUCUGUUGAAUAUUGGAGAAAACAGUGAAGUCAAUUCCAGAUCUAACCCUAUAGCAUUUGAUGAAGACGUUCCUCUUUUCGCUCUGGGUUUAAUUAAUUCUGCUAUAGAACUUGGAGGCUCUUCUUUCCGUGAGCACCCAAAAUUGUUGAGUUUGAUUCAGGAUGAGUUAUUCUGUAACUUGAUGCAGUUUGGUAUGUCGAUGAGCCCUCUGAUUCUUUCUACAGUUUGCAGCAUCGUUCUUAAUCUCUACCUGACUCUCCGUACUGAACUUAAGGUACAGCUUGAAGCUUUCUUCUCAUGCGUACUUCUGAGGAUUGCACAGAGCAAGCAUGGCUCUUCUUACCAGCAACAGGAGGUUGCUAUGGAAGCUCUGGUUGAUUUUUGCAGACAGCAUACUUUCAUGGCUGAAAUGUUUGCGAAUUUCGAUUGUGAUAUAACAUGCAGUAAUGUGUUCGAAGAUGUUUCAAAUUUGCUAUCAAAGAGUGCCUUCCCAGUUAACGGGCCUUUAUCUGCUAUGCACAUAAUUGCAUUGGAUGGGUUAAUCUCCAUGGUUCAGGGAAUGGCUGAAAGGGUUGGUGAGGAAUUGCCGGGUUCAAAUGUUUCGACACAUGAAGAAGGAUACGAAGCAUUUUGGACAGUGAGAUGUGAGAACUACGGAGAUCCUAAUUUAUGGGUUCCCUUUGUCCGAAAGUCAAAGCACAUCAAGAAAAAGCUGAUGGUUGGUGCUGAUCAUUUUAACAGUGAUCCUAAAAAAGGUCUGCAGCAACUCCAAGCGAUGCACUUGUUACCUGAAGAACUUGAUCCAAAGAGUGUGGCAUGUUUCUUCAGGUAUACAUGUGGGAUAGAUAAGAACCUUAUAGGAGAUUUCUUGGGAAAUCAUGACCAGUUCUGUGUUCAGGUUCUUCAUGAGUUUGCCAAGACGUUUGACUUCCAGAAUAUGAAUCUUGAUAACGCCCUGCGUCUCUUUGUGGGGACAUUUAGAUUGCCUGGCGAGUCGCAGAAGAUACAGAGGGUGCUUGAAGCGUUUUCUGAGAGAUACUAUGAGCAGUCACCACAGAUAUUGAUUGAUAAAGACGCUGCCCUCUUGUUAUCUUAUUCGAUUAUCUUGCUGAACACAGAUCACCACAACACUCAGGUCAAGAAAAAGAUGACUGAAGAAGAUUUCAUCCGUAACAACAGGUGCAUAAAUGGAGGCGCAGAUCUUCCCAGGGAAUACUUAUCUGAGCUUUAUCAUUCAAUCUGCGACAGUGAGAUUCAGAUGAUCCCAGAUCAAGGAACCGGUUUCCAAAUGAUGACCUCCAGUCGGUGGAUUAGUGUGAUUUACAAGUCCAAAGAAACCAGUCCCUAUAUCAUAUGUGACAGCGCAUCGUAUCUGGACCGUGACAUGUUUCAUAUCGUGUCCGGUCCCACUAUUGCUGCUACAUCUGUGGUUUUUGAGCAAGCAGAGCAAGAAGAUGUUCUGCAGAGAUGUGUUGAUGGGUUAUUGGCCAUUGCAAAACUUUCAGCGUAUUACCAUUUGAAUAGUGUAUUGGAUGAUCUGGUCGUGUCUCUCUGCAAAUUCACGCCAUUCUUCGCGUCGUUAUCUGUUGAUGAAGCUGUUCUUGCUAUAGGAGAAGAUGCCAGAGCAAGAAUGGCUACUGAAAGUGUGUUCUUGAUCGCAAACAAAUACGGCGACUAUAUCACUUCGGGAUGGAAAAACGUACUGGAAUGUGUCUUGAGCCUCCACAAACUCCAGAUUUUACCAGCUCAUAUAGCUAGUGAUGCUGCGGAUGACCCAGAGGAAGAAAGACCUUUAGCAAAUCCCUUAUCAGUAGUAUCACAGGUACAACCCUCAGAGACCCCUCGAAAAUCCUCUAGUUUUAUCGGUCGGUUUAGCCAGCUUUUGUCCUUUGACAUGGAGGAGACGAAGCCAUUAUUACCUACCGAGGAAGAACUUGCAGCCUAUAAGCACGCUCGUGGUAUAGUGAAAGAUUGUCAUAUUGAUAGCAUAUUCUCAGACAGCACGUUUCUCCAAGCCGAGUCCCUGCAACAGCUAGUAAACUCUCUCAUAAAGGCAGCCGCGAAAGAUAAAGAUAGUGCUGUCUUUUGCCUGGAGCUUUUAAUUGCAGUAACUCUAAACAACCGAGACAGAAUCCUACUGAUCUGGCAAACUGUUUACGAGCACAUCUCGGGUAUAGUUCAAUCAACGACGACACCAUGCCCGCUUGUGGAAAAGGCUGUGUUUGGUGUGUUGAAGAUUUGUCAGAGAUUAUUGCCUUACAAGGAGAAUCUAACAGAUGAGCUUCUGAAAUUACUCCAACUGGUUCUCAAACUUGAUGCAAGAGUGGCUGAUGCAUACUGUGAGCCCAUAACGCAAGAAGUAGCCCGUCUUGUAAAAGCGAAUGCAUCUCACGUCAGAUCUCAUGUUGGUUGGAGAACAAUCAUAUCUCUGAUAUCAAUCACAGCUCGACAUCCAGAAGCUUCUGAUGCUGGAUUCGAAGCUCUCCGGUUUAUAAUGUCAGAAGGAGCUCACUUGUUGCUAGCAAACUACAUUCUUUGUUCGGAUGCAGCUAGGCAGUUUGCUGAAUCCCGUGUCGGGGAAAUCGAUCGGUCUAUCUCAGCCAUCGACUUAAUGUCAAACUCUGUGUUCUGUCUUGCUAGGUGGUCUCAAGAGGCGAAAAACUCGGUGGGAGAAGAUGAAGCUAUGAGGAAACUAAGUCAAGACGUCGGAGAGAUGUGGCUCAGGCUUGUGAACAACCUCAAAAGGGUUUGUCUUGAUCAACGCGACCAAGUGAGAAACCACGCCAUCUCAAUGCUACAGAGAUCAAUAGCCGGUGCAGACGGAAUCAUGUUACCACAACCAAUAUGGUUCCAAUGCUUCGACGCCGCAAUCUUCCCGUUGCUAGACGAACUGCUCGCUGUUUCGAUCGAGAAUUCAAGAAAGACAUUCAAGAAAACAGUUGAAGAAACGCUUGUGCUCGCCACAAAGCUCAUGUCAAAGGCCUUUCUUCAAGCUCUCCAAGACAUCUCGCAGCAACCAUCGUUCUGCAGACUCUGGCUUGGUGUAUUGGACCGUAUGGAGACUUACAUGUCGACCAAGUUCAGAGGGAAACGCAGCGAGAAAGUCCAUGAACUCAUACCGGAACUGCUGAAGAACACGUUGCUGGUGAUGAAGACGACGGGUGUUUUACUACCAGGUGAUGAUAUUGGAAGUGAUAGUUUCUGGCAACUGACUUGGCUUCAUGUCAAGAAGAUAUCUCCUUCUCUGCAAUCUGAAGUGUUCCCUCAAGAGGAGCUUGAUCAGUUUCAGAGACGAAACGCUAAGCCUGAGGAUACUCCGGUGGUACCGGAAAACUAAGACUCAGAACGGUGGUGGUGGAGUAGUAAGGAUUUGUUUUUAUACAGAAAAGCAUUAUUGAGAAGUUUUUUUUAGAAACUAUAUCGAAAUAUUAUAUCUUUGCAGUAUAGCCUUUUGUUUGAAUAUAGUACUUUUGAGCUUUUGGAUUUUUAUGGAAUGUCACGUUGGAGUUAUGGCUUUGAUUGGAGAUUUGCUUGGAGGCGAUUCAGGAAAGCGUUGUCACAAGUUGCACAAAUCGGCUUUUGAGUUUACCAAUAGAACGGACAGAUAAAAUGAACAGUUGAACUGAGUGAGCUUUUCAGGGUGCCGCCAACCCAUUCAUGUAUUUUUCAUUCUGAAACAGAAUAAUGUCAAAAUAGGGUUGAGCUUUUCUAAAAAAUUAUUACUUUACCUUUAUUUCUAAAUACAAAUUAAAAUAUUCUCAUUAAAUUAGUUUUUUAAAAAAUAAUUUUAUUUUAUUCUAAUGGAAAAAUUACAAAAGUAUAAUAUUUUUAAUGAAAAUUACAGUAAUCAACUUUACUAAACAAAAACAAAGAUAGGAUAAUGUUAAAGAUAUGCAUGUCAAAUUCAAAGACAAUAAUUUUAUAUAGCUUCACAAAUUAGAGUUGUUUAUAUUAUAGUUGUAUAUUCACUUCAAUUUGGAUAUUAUCAUGUGUAAGUAGUAGGAUAAAUUUUCCACUACAAGCUACCUACCACAAUUACAAAAGCUUAAUAAUUUUCAAUUAUUUAAAAAAGCACAUAGAUUAUAGAAAAUUUGGAAUCUCCUCACAAAUAUUUUCUUGAACAUACCUCUGUCUCUCUAUCUUAAUAUAUUCUCAUAGAUCAUUUGAGUCCAAAUUUUGGAUCUUGCAAUUUAAAAAUUAAUUAUUAUUUUCUUUGUUUUUAAAAAAUUUACUGUUUCAUUUCUUAUAAGUUAUUUAUAUAAUAUCACCAUUAUAUUUCAACAUAAUAAAAACUCGUGGUUCCAUAUUUUCGCCGGAAACCAACUAGCGCAAUGGACCAACUAGGGGUGGGCGUUCGGGUAUCCGGGUUCGGAUCGGAUAUUUCGGUAUAGAGGUGUAGAACGUCAGAGUAUUUCUGUACUUCGGGUCGGGUUCGGAUAUUUUUAGUUUGGGUUCAGUUAUUGCAGAUCGGUUUCCGAUAUUUAGAUUUUGAAAAAAACAAAAUUAAAUUUUCAUUUCUCAAAUUUCUUGUAUUUAAAAAUAUAACUUUCACUUAACUAAUUUUUUAUUUUUAAUAAAUUGAAUGGUUAAUAGAUUUGGACAUAACAAUUUGAAACUAAAAAAACAUUAAUUUGGUAUUGUUUUUAAAUUUUGGAUGUAACUUUUUGUUAAUUUUUGAAAUAAAAAAUUUGACAUGCAUUUUAAGUGAGUAGCAAAACUUUUUCUCCGUAAUUUUAUGUAUGUCAUAUGAAUUUAAAAUAUGUGUAGUAUCAAUAUAAAUAUUUUAUAUAAAAUGAGAGAUGUAAACUAGAUUCAGAUUUCAGUUCGGGUUUCGGUUCAGAUUUUGGUUCGGGUUUUUCGGAUUGGAUUGGGUUCGGAUGUCACUUCAGAUAUUGAAUAAAGUGUCCACCCUUGACCAACACAACAUUGGUGGUUAAAACUCAUAGUUUACCAAAAAAAUAAUCAAAACUCGUUUAGAUGCUUUGUAUUUAGCUAAUUGUUUUAAAACUCAGUUUUUCUAACCACCAUAAACUAUUCAAACUAUUUUAACAACUUUUCUAAAAAAAGACUAUAAAAUUAUUAUUAAUUUUGUUAAAAAAUUUUAAUCUACUAGUUGAUCAAUGAUUCAUAAAAAAAUUUAAAUUUUGAUUUCAAGAUUUAUAGAAAUUAACGGAUUUAAAAAAUUAAAUAAAAAUCAUAUAAAUAGUUUCAUCUAAGUUUAAAAUAUUGAAAAAUCAGUUUAAAAAAAAAAGAAAACAUAAAAGAAAAGAAAAGAUGUAGAGAAACGACGGGUGCCUGCUGGUGUAGGAUAGAAACAGUGUAUGUGGAUGUAGCUUAUAACUACCCAAUCCCGUUGAACAUAUUUCCUCCGACCAGACCAUCCCCAGAAUAAUAAUAAUAAUAAAAUUCAACGGAGGCCGCCUUCCCUUCACCGGAUCACCUUCCUUCCUUUGGAUCUAUCUUCCCAUUCCGACGGUUCUUCGUUUCUCAGGUCUCCUCUUCCUUUCUCAUCUAUUCCCUUUUUAAAUCCUUUUUUAUUUUUUGCUUUAAUCGCUUGUUUCAUGGGCGAUCACUUUUCUCUCUUGCGAUCGGUGAAUUUUGAUUCUUCUGUCUACCCAUAAACCUCGUGUUGACAUGUGUUUCGCGAUCUAACAAUAUAUAUUAUUAGUGUUUACGGAUUGUUUUAGACAUCAAUCAUCGAUCCUCUCGCUGAGGAAAAUUGCAGUUCCUAGUCUUGCGAACUGUUGAUUUGUUCCUAAUUUGGGGGUUACUGAUCCUAGAGGAAUUGGAUUUCAUUAAUCUAUUUGAUUCAUCAUCAUCAUUAUGUGUUGCGUGCAGAGUAUCAAUAAUCAAUCUACCUUGGAACAAUGAGUGAGGUGUUUAACGGAUACGAGCGCCAAUACUGCGACCUCUCGGCCAACCUCUCCAAGAAAUGCUCCUCUGCUAUUGCCCUUGACGGAGGUAAGUAAUUCCAUAUCAUCUCUUGCUCCUCAUCCACUGCCCCUAACUUCCUUCCUCUUUUAUGAGUUACUACAAGCCUUUCUCUGCUUUCCAGGGCCGGCCCUAGGCCAUGCUAGGUGAAACAUUCGCAACAGGCCCCUAAAAUUUUUGAAAAAAAUUACAUACAAAUAAGCCCCAAAACAAAAUUUCAUACAGCAGGGUCAGACCUCCAGAAUCUCAGGUCUGGCCCUGCUGCUUCCCUUUGAAAGCUGAUGAUACCUUUACUGAUUGAAUUGCAGAACAAAAGAAGCAGAAGCUCUCUGAGAUAAGAUCUGGCCUCGAUAAUGCUGAAGCAUUGGUAUGUGUGACUCUGGAAUAUAGCAGUUUUUUCUUUAUUGUCCCUUUUAACAUUUUUUCUUAUUCACCAGAUUAGGAAAAUGGAUGUUGAGGCGAGGAGCCUUCCACCGAGCAUUAGGACCAGCCUCCUUGUUAAACUAAGAGAGUUCAAGUCCGAUCUCAACAACUUCAAAAGCGAAGUCAAGAGGAUCACAUCUGCUAACUUGAAUGCUGCUGCUCGCGACGAGCUGCUUGAAGCUGGUCUGGCUGACACAAAGACGGUAUGUAAAGAGAACUCACUAGUAUCUUUUUUGACAUCUUUUGAUUGAUCUAUGACAUUUGAGGGCAGGCUUCGGCUGAUCAAAGAGCGAGAUUGAUGAUGUCAACCGAUCGAUUGGGUCGAACCACUGACAGAAUCAAGGACAGUCGAAGAAUGAUGAUUGAGACUGAAGAGCUUGGAGUUUCUGUCCUACAAGACUUGCACAGUCAGAGACAGUCUCUCCUUCGCACUGGCGACACGGUAUGUACUCUCUUCUUCAGCACGAUUUUAUCAUGAAGAAGACUACGUUUUAUUUAUAUACUACUUGUGAUUGGUGUCUCUUUUAACCAAAAGUUAGAACUCUGAAACAUGCAGCUUAGUGGAGUAGACGAAAAUGUCGGAAAGAGCAAGAAGAUCUUGACGGGCAUGACCAGGGGGAUGAACAGGAACAAAUGGACCAUUGGAGCCAUUAUCACCGCUCUGGUCGCGGCUAUUAUCCUCAUCUUGUACUUCAAACUCACCAAGUAAUCCCUCUGUAUCUAAACUCUUUGUCGCUGAACAAAUGGUGUGUAUCUUUUAUUUAAUCCUUUUCUGGCUUUCUGUGUGAUAAGUUAUGUCUUUGCCACCUUUUGUAUUAUCACGUUCUCUUGUUUGCGUUUGCGAUUACAUUUGUGUAUUUUAAUACUGAAUGAUGCAAAUUGUUUUGUUUUAUUAUUACUAAACGCAAGCGUAAAUUACAUUUCAAACAAUUAGAGCCUAAGCCUUGAGAUUGAGAACUAGUUGUGUGUUUUUCUUUCAUUCUUGAACCUGUUAUAAUCAGCGAGCAAGCUCUCAAUAACCUUAUGUUUCAUGCUAUCCACCAAACCAGUCAAAAUCUGUAGAAACCAAAUCACAACCAAACAUUAUUUACAAAGCUGAAAUAGUGGAAAAUAUCGUUUUCGAGUUCUCAAACGCAUAUAAGAAACCGUUUCUAACCGCAUUGGCCACGCUUCUCUUAACAUCUUCGGGUACAAACGCAAGAACCGAAGGAAGGACGAAGCUUACGUUCAUCUCUAAUUGACCUUUGAGCCUUGUGUGGCUUCCGCCUCGGUCUGGGUACAAUGCUCCUUGAACUCCCAGAGUGAAAUCAGACUGUUCCAUGACCUGGCCAAGCCCUUGAAGCUCCCAUUUCAUCUGAAGGUAAACCGUUAAAAGGGAACAAAAGAGUGAGAAUCGUCAAGGGUUGUGUCUGUUUCUAUUACCAUGUUAAGCUCAAGAACUCUGGUUAUGUCUAGAGGUACAUCAGGCGGGUAAUCUUGACCGUUGGAUUUGCAUCUAAUUCGCAUGUCCACCACUGGCCUUGCAGUGAGGAAGAGGAAAUUUAUAGGUGACAUAUGAAUUCUCCAUUCUUCCUGCACAAAUAAAAUAUUGUUAGAUACCGAAUGCAUUCCCACUUACAUAAAAAGUAACACAUAUUAGCUACCUCGUUAAGCCUAUAGCUUCUAGGUUUAUCAGGAAACAUUGCUUUGAAAACCCUACACUUAUCCUCCAAAUACUCAUCGAACAACGCCUGAACUUUCCCGAAACGCGUCAAACACAUACACUGUUGUACAGUGAUGCAUAUAUAUAACUCAUUAUAGGAAAUGAGAGUGAGAAUGAGACCUGAGGAGACUCGUGCAAUUGAACAUCGGUAGAGAAUUUAGAUGAAUACUUGGAGGCUUUUACAGUUGACAACUGGCACUUGGCUCCUGGCCGUAAUGUUCUCAUCUCCGCCGCUGUAGACCUGAUUCUUCCCAGCAUUGUCGGACACGACAAAACUGUUGAGCUGACAGCCAUGUUAGUAGUCUCUCUCUAGGUUUUCAAGAUUGGAUGAUGUUUGAUCUUUCCCACAUGUUUGAAAGAUAAGGGGAUAUGUGUCUUUCGGCCUUGUAUGUAGACGUGGUAUAUCGAGGGACUAUCCACCUCAUCAACAUUUUGAAUUCUUGGCCCUCUUUGAUUUACUCCUUUAUUCACGUUUUUCUCACUAUUAAGAAGAAGACAAUCUUGUUGAACAAAUAAUUAAAAAAAAGAAGACAAUCUCUUUCUCUCUAUACUCUUUCAGUCUUUCUUCGGUUCUCUGUUAUGAAAACAGUCUCCUUUCUUUCGGCUAAAUCAGGUCAAUAACAGAAAAUUGUGUGUUUUUUUUACAGUGUUCUAAAAAUUGGUUUAGAUGACACAUUAAAAAAAGUCUAACCAUACAUUUAAUCAACAAUCUUCGUAAAAAGUAUAACUACCGCCUAACGAUUUUUUGCAUUGUUUUUCUCUCAAAAUAUUACAAUUGACAGAUUUAAUAUUCAAAUAUUAUAGUUACUCCAUAACUAAUAGCUCGACGGCAUAAAAUUGACAUGAUAUAGUCAAUAGUUUCGUCUAUUUUUAACAGUUGACUAUUAUAAUCCUAAUUUUUUUAAUUAUAAUCCUAGUUUUAUGGUGUAUAUAUAUACUAGUUGAUACAAGUUGUUUUGUUUAAUAUAAACGUAUACGCCAAACAUGGCGCAUAAAUUACAUUCAAACCAUUAAAGCUUUAGCCUUGAGAUUAAAAACUAAUGAUGUGUUCUUCUUUCAUUCUUAAACCUAUUAUAAUCAUCGAGCAAGCUCUCAAUAACCUUAUGCUUCAUAUUAUCCACCAAACCAUUUAAAACCUGCAGAAAGCAAAUAAAAACAUAAGAUAAUAUAUAAAUUUGGAAUAUAGUGUUUUGAAUUUGCAAAUGCAUUUAUUUCUAACCGCAUUGGCAACGUUUCUCCUAACAUCCUCUGGUACAAGCAUGAGAACCGUAGGAAGCACGAAGCUAACGUUCAUCUCUAGUCGACCUUUGAGCCUUGUGUGCCUUCCGCCUCGGUCUGGGUACAAUGCUCCUUGAACUCCAAGGGUGAAAUCAGAUGGCUCCAUGACCCGGUCAAGCCCUUGAAGCUCCCAUUUCAUCUGAAAAUAAACCGUUCAAAGAGAACAAAAGAGUGAGGUAUUUAGACUUUUUAGUACUUCCUCCAUUCAACGAAGAUAUAAAUCUUGGAUAUUUCACACAAUUUAAAUAUAAAUUUACAAUUCUAAAAUAUUUUUUUAAUACCAUAAUUUAAAAAAAAUCAAUUUAUUUCAACAGUAUUGUCUUAAUCAAUAUGAUCAGUAAAUAAAGGUAAACAAUUAUUCAUAAAACUUUUCUCUUUCUGAAACAAUUAAAAAUGUCAAAACUUGUAUUUUUGUGGAAAGGAGUGAGUACCAUGUUAAGCUCAAGGACUUUGGUUAUGUCUAGAGGUACAUCAGGCGGGUAAUCCUGACCGGUGGAUUUGCAUCGGAUCCGCAUGACCACCACUGGCCACGCAGUGAGGAAGAGAAAUUUUAUUGGCAACAUUUGGAUUCUCCAUUCUUCCUGCACAAGUAAAUCAUGUCGGUCUUUUCGUUAGAGUAACCAAAGAAUGCAACCCAGAGCCGUGCCUGACUAGAGGCUGAUCAAGCACUUGCUUGAGGCCAAAACGUAGAUAAAUAGUUUUAUGGGCCAAUUUCUUGGCAAGAGUUGUCUACAGAACAGUUGGUAAUAGUCUGUAUUAUUACUCUAGGGUCCCGGGUUCAAUCACGAGUAUAGCAGUUUGACCUUUUUUCCAAAAAAUUUAUAGUUUAUGGGGCAAAUUUUUUUUAGUGCUUUAGGACCCACAAUAUUCAGGCAUGGCCCUGAAUUGCAACCCCACACUUAUAAAAAUGGAACAUGGAUGUUACCUCGUUAAGCCUAUAGCUUUUGGGUUUAUCAGGAAACAUUGCUUUGAAAACCCUCGACUUAUCCUCCAAAUACUCAUCGAACAACGCCUGAAGUUUCAAAGCAUUACAACACAAACAGUUUUACACUGAUGCAUACAUAUAUAACAUUAUAGAGAUUGAAAGUGAGAAAGAGAUACCAGAGGAGACUCGUGCAGUUGAACAUCGGUAGUUAUUUUAGAUGAAUAUUUGGAGGGUUUUACGGGUGACAACUGACACUUAACUCCCCACCGUAUUGUUCUCAUCUCCACCGCCACCGACCGGCGUCUUCCGAACAUCUUCGGGCAUGACAAAACCAUUGAGCUUACAGCCAUUUUACCAGUCUUUCUCUCUCUUUUUUGGUCUUCAAGAUUGGAUGAUAUUUGAUCUUUCCCACUUUUCUCUCUCUCUAUAUUUAUAUAUAUCUUCAGAGGAAAGAUUGCGUCUUUGCUUCUCUUUAAUACGUUUAGAGACCUUUGUUAAAGAAAAUAGAGACAGAGAGUAACAUUCUCACGGUACGCAUUUGGAAGAUAGUGGAUUUCGAGAAAUAAUUGUUGAAACAUUGCUUUUCAACCUCUAUAGUAACCGGGUACAUAUUCGGUUUGGUUUAAUUGUUUCAGGUUUUGUAAGAAAUAUAAGUCCACUUCAUUUAAUUUAGUUUAGUUUGGUUUGGUUUAGUUAAGAGGUUACCCAUUUAUUUUGCCAUCUACGUGGUGAUAAUGUAAAGCCUCGUCUGUCACGCAGUUGUUGAUGAGAGUGACACGAGAACAUUGAACGUUGAGAAUAAUCUGUAGAAUAACUUCUAUCACACGCAGAGGUUUUGAAAAAAAAAAGAAAAAGAAUUCAUUGCUUUCGAAACCGACAAACUCUCGGACCGAAUACUAAGAAACCGGUUUACUUUGGCGCCUAGGAAUAUGGGUUACUAACUUUGACUUUUAAUGUAAGCAAUAAGCAAAGAUCUCUUGUUGUUUGCAACUCUUUCAACUCUAUAAUCUUUGUUUUUCAGACUGGCUAAGUAAAUUAAAACAUUAAAAUCUUAUAUAGUAUGUUACGAUGACUGUUCAUAAACGAUUUGUUCAUGUUGGAUUGAGAAACUAUACAUGGUUGAGCAUUGACAUUAAAAUUCGGCUUUAGUAGAUAACUUGUGUAAUCUUCUCUCGUUCUUGAACCUGCUAUAAUCAGCGAGCAAGCUCCCAUUAACCUUAUGCUUCAUAUUCUCCACUAAACCUGUCAAAACCUGUAAAUGGGUCCAAAUCAGAUCAUGUGUAAAUCAUAAGAGAUAGUCAAAUAAGGUUUUACAUACCGCACUGGCCAAGUUUCUCCUAACGUCUUCAGGUACCAAUUCAAGAACCGGGGGAAGAACAAAGCUUAUGUUCAUCUCUAGCUGACCUCUGAGCCUUGUGUGCUUUCCUCUCCGGUCUGGGUACAAUGCUCCUUUGACUCCCAAACUGAAGUCAGACGGUUGCAUCACUCGGUCAAGCCCUUUAAGUUGCCAUCUCGUCUGAAAAGAAGCAUUUAAGAGUUUGAGUAAUGGAAGAUGAAGAAACGAAGAGAGAGAAAAGUUAUUACCAUGUUGAGCUCAACAACUUUGGUUAUGUCUAAAGGUACGUCUGCCGGGUAAUCCUGACCGUUGGAUUUGCAACUUAAACGCAUAUCGACCACAGGCCACACAGUGAGGAAGAGGAAAUUAAUUGGUAACAUCUGAAUCCUCCACUCUUCCUGCAAAAAUUCAAUUUAUCCAAGUAGACUUAAAAUAGUGAAAAAGGGGGCGUUCCGAGAAUUGAACUCGGGACCUCUCGCACCCUAAGCGAGAAUCAUACCACUAGACCAAACGCCCGUUUUGAACGUGUUUUAUAUAUAACUAAUGUUAGUCAUAUUAGUUGACGUACCUCGUUAAGCUUAUGGCUUCUGGGUUUGUCAGGGAACAUGGCUUCGAAAACUCUCGAUUUAUCCUCUAAAUAGUCAUCAAACAACGCCUAAAAGUUCCUCAAAAUCACAUUUAAGAAACGCACCAAAACAGUUUAAACUGAAUCGUGUUAUAGAGGGAGAGAGAGAAGGAGACCUGAGGAGACUCGUGGAGAGGAAUAUCUGUGGAGAGUCUUGACGAAUACGUGGCAGGUUUUAUGGAUGAUACCUGACACCUAACUCUCCACCGUGUAAUUGGUCUCAUCUCCGUCUUCACCGGUCGGUAAGUUCCGAACAUGGGCGAUGACAAAACCGCCAUUUCACCGAUUAUCUUUUCAAUAUCAGAACUUUUAUAUAUUCCACAUUUCUCUUUUGAUUUCUCUCUGAAAGUUAAAAACUUUUGAAAGAACUUUUAGAUUUCUCUAGAGGAGUGAAGUUGCUUUUUGCUAGAGAUUUUGGAGGGAUAAGGGGAUAUCUGUCUUUCGGCCUUCUAUGUCGACGUGGCAUAUUUUGAGACUAGCCACAUCAUCAACAUUUGGAAUUCGUAGGGCCCUUCUUUUCUUUGUACUCCUUUCGGACUUUUCCUUUCCGUUAGUGGAUGAGAAUGACACGAGACGAAACUAAAAAAAAAAAAAACUCAAAUGUAUUAUCUGACGACAAAGGAAGGUUCGACAAACUAAACUCAAUCCUUAUUUUACAUUAGUUCCACUGUACAUGUUCUGUCAUAUUAAAAGAUCAAGAAUAUUCAAAUCCUACGAGCAACGCAUUAUAUUGUCGGAUGAAUUUCCUUGAAAGUGUAUGGUUUGAAAUUUCAGGACUGUAGAGGGCACACAGAUGAUCCUCCUAAAGAAUGUAGAUAUCAAACCUUAAGUUCUGUGAUUUGUUCUUCGAUUUCUUGCUUAUAAAAGCAAACUAAAAUGAAAUGUGGAACGUAAAUGCCACAAUUGAUUCACGGCUUCGUUGAGCUCACUUCACUCUCUUUGUUAAAACUCAAAUACAUCUCGAUCUUCUUAGUUCCAACAACCAAAGAGGAUACAAAAGACAAUCUUUCACGGUUUAUUUCUAACAUUAGUAAGAAAAGGACUCGUCUCUUUCUCUCUUAAUUCCUUCACGGUUAAAACCUCAAGUCAAACCGUCAACACACUUAUGGGCCUUAUCCAUUUCCUAACUGGGCCUUAAUUUUAAUUUUAAUUUCUAGUCCAAUCGGUAAUCGCUUCGAUCUGUCGGUAGACAGAAUAGAAUAAUGGUUUCGCCGGUUAAACCAGUCGGCAAUCGGUACGAUCAGAUUGCAUAAAAGCAAAUCAUAAUAAGUCACGUGGCACAGUUUACACGGUUCGUAGACUCGUAGUGGUCGCCAUGUAAACAGCGGGAAAACAGGGCCCCACACAUAUUAACUAAGGAGUAGGACCAACAAAAUCAUCACCACGAAACGCAGCGUUUCCCCUUCGUCUCCGCGUUUAAAAUCUUCUUUCACCCUUUCGUCAUUUCGUCAGAUCCAAGAGAGAGAGAGAGAAAUCAGAAAAAGAUCUUGAAACGAUGCCGUACUACACCAGAGACGAGGAUGAAGUCGACGAUUUCGACGAGUUCGAUCCGACGCCGUACAGUGGAGGCUACGACAUCACCGUGAUCUACGGCCGUCCGAUCCCUCCUUGCGACGACACUUGCUACCCUCUCUCCUCCGCAGCGGAUGAAGAUUUCGAGUACGAGAGACCUGAAUUCACCUCGUACCACGAUCCUUCCGCCUACGCCGAAGAAGCUCUCAACCCCGAGUACAGCAGCUACUCCCGCCCCAAGCCCCGUCCCGGUUUUCGACCCGGUUCUGCCGGAGGCGGUCACGUCCAAGGUGAGCGACCCGAUCAGAGUUACGGAUCCGGUUACGGUGGUCAGACGGAGGCUGAGUACGGUAGGAGACCUGAAUCGGGGUACGGCGGAGCCACGGAGACGGAGUAUGGCCGGAGACCUGAGCAGAGUUACGGAUCUGGUGGAUACGGUGGCAGAUCGGAGGUUGAGUCUGGUGGCUAUGGUGGUAGAUCAGAGGUUGAAUCUGGUGGAUACGGUGGAAGAUCGGAGUCUGGUGGCUAUGGUGGAAGAACGGAGGUUGAGUAUGGCCGGAGACCUGAAUCUGGAUAUGGUGGGAGAUCGGAGACGGAGACCGGGUACGGAUCCGGGUAUGAGAAGAAACCGAGCUUCGGUGAAGAGAGGAGCGAGUAUGAGCGCAAGCCUAGCUAUGGAAGGUCUGAGGAUCAAGAGGAAGGAGGUUACAGGAAGCCUAGCUAUGGGAGAUCUGAGGAUCAGGUUGAGAGCUACAUAAAGCCCAGCAGCUACGGGAGGUCUGAGGAAGAGGAAGAAGGAGGCUAUAGGAAGCCUAGCUAUGGAAGGUCUGAGGAACAGGAGGAAGGGAGUUACAGGAAGCCUAGCUAUGGCCGUCGUAAUGAUGAUGAUGAUGAUGAGGAGCGCAGGAACCGUUCCGGUGAUGAUGAGGAAGGGAGCUAUGGCCGCAAGAAAUAUGUAAGUUCAAUAAGUUAAUUAUAUAAAGUUAUAGUCAAUUUGCAUCUAGAUUAUUGUGUGGAAAUUAAGUUUAUUGAUUGUUUAAACAUAAAACCCUUUUGUUGAUGGACUGAUCUCAACAUUGAAACUAAAGAUUAUAGUUUUGGUGAUAACAUCCAUUACCCCCUUUAACUUCAUUCGUUCAGUAUUUGAUUUAACAUUGACAUCUUGUAGGUUAUAACAAUCAUAGUACAGAACUUGCAUUGUGUUUUUUGCGUCUCGUUUGUUUUGAAAAUAAGUUUUAGUUUGGUUUUGAUCACAGUGUAGCGGUGUAACUCUGUUUUCACAUCCUGAAAUGGAGUUCCUUAAUUUGAAAGCUAUGUUCUACAAUCCCAUAAUAACGUUCCUGGUUCAAUGUUUGUUUGAAUAUAGACAUCUUGAAUAUGUCCCAUUGUUGAUCUUAGUGUAGAGUAGUCUCCAUGUUGAACUAAAGUGUUUGUCUUUCAUACCCUGUAACUCUGUUUUCACAUCCUGUAAUGGAUUAGCCUCGGUUGAAAGCUAAGUUCUUUGAUUGAAAUUGCACAUCAUGUAUAUGACAUUUGAAGAUCAUAGUUACAGAGUAUCUAUCUCCAUUGUUAUGGUGACCGUUAAUAGAGGCAUCACUGACUAAAGCUUUCGCUUAACGUUAUUCAUCUCUGCAUCAAAUUCUGUAGGGUGGCAAUGACUCUGAUGAUGAUGAGGAGAAGAAGCAGCAGCGUUACAAGCAUCACCACCACCAGAGGCGUCGUGAUGAAGACGAUGACUAAAGCCCUCACUCAGUGCUGGAAUCGAGUGCUUCUACUUAGCUUCAUAUUACUAAAUAAAAAGCUAAGGCAUAUUUAUCUUUGGAUGUUGUUGUUGUGUUUGUUUGAUUCUCUCUAGAUACAGCAGAGUCUGUGUCUGGGUUUGUUUCUGGUUCAUUAUAAGACCUUGAAUUGAUAUCGGGUCAUCAUCAUGAUGUUAAACUGUUGCUACUCUGUGUUUCGUUUUUAUUUAUGGAACUUUUCUCUUUUAUGGCUUCUGUUGUUUUGGUUUUGUCGAUAUUAAUAUUAAAAAUCAAAAGUCAUUGCCGAGAAGGAAAAAUAUUUUGUGGUAAAAGCUAGAUUCGAUUUUUUAUACUGAAUAUUUUAUGAUUAAAAACAGAAAAAAGAAAAUCGGUUUUGUAAUAGGAAUGGGUUAAUCAGAUACCUAUAUGUACAUUACACAUCUUUUUGCUUCAACAUCAGAAACUUACAACCAAACAAUUCUAAAAGAAGCAAUGUCAAGCGCUACAGUCCUCGAUGAAUCUAGCGUUCCUAGCCCCAGGAGUACAUGGAGGUGAGAUUCCACUAAAUAUAUUGUUAUGUAACAUAAGAUUUUUGAUUAUAAACAUUAUUAUACUGAAACGAAUUUUCUGGUUGGUUGCAGGAUGGACGGGCAGUUACGAUACGACAUUGCGAUGAACACCAUCAUUAUAAUCCUCAUCACUGAUGCGGUCUUACAUAUGACUCUGAGAGCCCACAAGAUUCCCCUUGCUGAUAACGUUGAGGGACUUUUAUGUACAUUUGUAGUUGCGUACGUGUUUGUCAUCACGACUAAUUGCGGGUAUUGGCUUACAGCAAGCGAGGAAGAAGGGUGUUUACUUGGAAUUUACAUCACGGGACGCCUUGGUCACACGUUAGGCUUUUGUAUUUUCCUCUGUCUCCUCUAUUCUAGUUCUCACUUGGCUAUGUACGUUGCUCUACCUUGUUUACUAUGUUUGGUGCCAGCCAUGUUUGCACCGUGUUGUCCAUGUCUGUGGAGAGGAGAGUCAACUUGGUGGAAUUUUGUGAAGCAACCACAACCAACAGUAGAUAUUGUUUAACUUUUGGACUAUUAUUAUUAAUAGAAUUUUUUAAUUCCUAAUUUUGUAAACAUCUCGUCAAUUGUUUGUUCUUAACUUUUCUCUCUUGCGAUCGGUGAAUUUUGUUUCCACUGUCUACCCAUAAACCUCGUGUUGACAUGUGUUUUGCGAUCUAACAAGAUAUUAUUAUGGUUUAGGGAUUGUUUUAGACAUCAAUCCUCUUUUGAUAUGGCUGAAGAAAAUUAAGAGUUCCUAGUCUUGAUUUGUUCCUGCUUAAUGUAAUUUGGGGAAAGUGAUCAUUUAUCUUUUGGUACAUUAUCAUUGUGUGUUGCAUGCAAAGUAUCAAUCUACUUGGAACUUAACAUUGCGUUAUUUGCAUCUAGCUUGUUUGGAAAAUAAGUUUUAAUUUGGUUUAAUCCCGUUGUUGAUCACAGUGUAGUGUGAUCUCAAUGUUGAACUAAAGAUAUCUUUAGUUUGUUCUUUAGAUUCUUUAUGAGUUACUACAAGCCUUUGUCUGCUUCCCUUUGGUUACAGGCUUGUCAUUACUAGUUGUAGAUCAUCAUUGAUUUUGCAGAACAAAAGAUGCAGAAGCUGUCCCAAAUAAGGACACAAGGACAUAAGUUUGUGCUUUAGAUCCUUUAUGAGUUUAUCUUCAGUUUUUGCGUUUUAGAUCCUUUAUGAGUUAUUACAAACCUCUCGACUCUUGUAAGGACAUAAGAUCUGUGCAUUAUCUGGUUACUGGCUGUACAAAGAGCUUGUCAAUUACUAGGUGUAGAUCAUCAUUGUUUCUGUUUGUUAAGAUGCAUUGAUGACACCUUACUCAUUGAUUCCCGAAACAAAAGAAGCAUAAGCUCUCUGAAAUAAGGCGUGGCCGCAAAAAUGCUAAAGUGUUGGUAUGUAGUCUAAGGCAUAGAUCGAAUAAAGCAGCGUUUUCCUUAUUGUCCCUUUGCUUUGUACAUUUUCUUAUUCACCAGAUUAGAAAAAUGGAUCUUGAAGCCAGGAGCCUUCCACCAAGCAUUAAUUCCAGCCUCCUUGUCAAACUAAGAGAGUUUUCAAGUCUGAUCUCAACAACUUCAAAAGCGAAGUCAAGAGAUCGAUGAGGUCAGCUGAUCGAUUGGGUCGAACCACAGACAGAAUCAAGAGACUGAAGAGCUUGGCGUCUCAGUCCUCCAAGACUUGCACAGUCAGAGACAGUCUUCCUCUCCUACGCACUAACGACACGGUAUGUGCUCUCUUCAACAAUUUUCUCUUACACGGGUUUUAUCAUGAAGAAGAAUACUACGUGUGAUUGGCAUCUCUUUUAACCAAUAGCUCGUUCUCUGAUACAUACAGCUUAGUGGAGUAGACGACAAUGUAGGAAAGAGCAAGAAGACCUUGACAGGCAUGACUAGGAGGAUGAACGGGAACAAAUGGACCAUUGGAGCCAUUAUCACCGCUUUGGUCGCCGCCAUUAUCCUCAUCUUCUACUUCAAACUCACCAAGUAAGCCUCUGUAUCUAAACUCUUUGUCGCUGAACAAAUGGUGUGCUGUAAGUAGUAACAGCUGAUGACGAGGAAGAAGAUAGAAGGAAGCUAAGACUCUGAGGGACAAAGAGGCUUCUGCAGUUACAGUGAAGCUACUGUAUAAAUAAUAUUAUAGAGGGAGUGAAAGAGAGACUUUAUCGAUGUAUUAGCUCAUGCCUCAUAGUUCCAGUUGAUACUCUAUAUUGUGAGAGAGAGUGAUACAGUUGUAUUGUGUGUGUUAUGGAUCAAUAGAGAUUUGGUUCAUGACAUCUGGCUUUUAUCUGUGUGAUAAGUUAUGUCUUUGCCACCUUUUGUAUUAUCACGUUCUCUUGUUUGUGUUUGCGUUUACAGUUGUGUAUUUUUAUACUAAAUGAUGCAGAUUGUUUUGUUUAUUAUUAAAAGCAAGCUUAAAUUACAUUUUAGACAAUUAGAACUUAAGCCUUGAGAAUAAGAACUAGUUGUGUGUUUUUCUUUCAUUCUUGAACCUGUUAUAAUCAGCGAGCAAGCUAUCAAUAACCUUACGCUUCAUGCUAUCCACCAAACCAGUCAAAAUCUGUAUAAACCUGGAAUAUAGCUGGUUCAUAAUAAGACCUUGAACUGAUAUUGGGUCAUCAUCAUGUAAACAGCUGCGACUCUGUGUUUUGUUUUUGUGCUAUGAAAAUUUCUUAUUUUAAAGCAUAACUUCUAUUGUUUUUCUUUUGUCCAUAAGAAAAUUUAUUUUGUCGUUAAAACCAAUGUGACCACACAAAACCACUUAUCUAAUCUAAUCUAGAAACAAUAUGAAACAAGCUUCCUGCCAAAGACAUACACCACAGUUACAACCACCUUUGAAAUCGACAUUCCAAGUAUAAACCAUCUUGGCCACAUGCUGUGAACAGUGGUUGAUCCUUCAGCUUCCUUACGCAGCUGUGAAGGUUCCAAAGAAGAGUGCGAUGACAAGCCACAGUAAGAACCAUCUAGUAUUGAGUUUUCUCCUCAGUGUCUCCGCUUUGUUGGCUUGUGGAGUUGUGCCAAGUUGAAGUACGUCGCCACGAAACCAAUGUUGUUGAGCAGGAGAUAGACAGUGUAACAUCGCGUGUCUCUGAAACGUAUGUAGCCAUUUGAAUCGAGUCCACUAGGUGGACUUGAGAAGGAAGCCACCGUGGUUAGGCCACCGAUGGCCAACACGAACUUGGUAAGUUCUUCUCGCUCUUUGUAAAGAGCCUCCAAAGGAUCCUGAAAUAAAUAAAGCGUAUGUAGCCAUGUGAUGUGGACUUGAGAAGGAAGCCAAUGUGGUUAGGCCACCGAUGGCCAACACAAACUUGGUAAGUUAUUCUCGCUCUUUAUUAAGAGCCUCCAAAGGAUCCUACAAUAAAGUGUACAAAUUUUGUAACUCAAAUCUUUUCCUCAUUCUCAGACAUCUCUCGUAGAAGACAUACUAACCGGUUUGCCUGAGAAAUAUAAAACUAAAUGUUUAAAGUACAUGCUUCUUAUAAAAUCAAUCUACAACUAUUCAAUAAAACUUGAUUUGCUUUUAUUAAACCCAUUAAAAGCAUUUACACACUCAAUCACACAACUAUACUUAAAUGCCACGACUUUCUCUUGUUCUAAAUAACUUUACGUCUUUACAUGUGUCUCAUUUGUAGACUUUCGUUACUACAUGUAACAUUUUUUCCAUGACUUUCAUGACCCGAAAUGAAGCUUUAAAAGUUCGUGAAACUAGUUUUCAAUAUAACAGUUCAUCAACUUAUCAACACAUUUACCUUAAUAUUCUAUGUUCCAAUAAAAUAAACAAACUUACUGCGAUUAUCGACGAAAUGGAGCUGAGGUUGAGGAAAGUCCUUGAUUUCCUAUCUUCAACAAAAAUAAAAAAGUAAAGAAAUGUUUUGCUAUUACAACAGCUUAUGUAGUGAUUCAGAUAAAACAAAAAAAUAAACACAACCUUCUGAUUGAUGCCACAUGAAAAAUGAUCAAUGUCUCUAAGCUUCUCAUCCUAAACGCCUUCCCCAUACAAUUUACAAAAUUUCUUCUCCUCUACAACUUUUGUCGUUAUGCGAAGAUGGUGACCCUCUGUUCAUUAAAUCGAUUGGGCUUUUUUUUCUUUCUUUUUUAGUAUCAUGUGCUUAAAGAUCCUAUUAUAAUAUUCUAAGUACGUUUUUCAUAGACGAGACAUCCCAAAUUUUUAUCUUUACUUUUCCUACACCAAUUCAUAGCUAUUUAUAUUUUGACGCAAACUAUAUAAAAUCGGAUCAGUUUACUCAAAACCCAGUACGUGGCUAAUCGUAAAAGAUACAUAGAAGUAUUCAACAAAUCAUUUCAUAUCAUUCAUUCAUUCACCCACAAAGAGCUCUCAAAUUGGUUUCGCAACUACAAAACAUCGAAUCCGUUCUUGGAUUAGGGUUUUGAGAUUGAGUCUCAUCAAUUUUUUUUGUUUCUUAUUGUAGAAAACUUUCACUUUGAGCUACAAGACAACUACUAGUGAAGGAGACCAGACAGUUCCAGAUCCGUUUCCAAAGUUGUUGGAUAAUUUAGGACCAUCUUUAGUACAUUUGUUCUUCGUCCCUGAGAAAAGAGGAGGAUCGAGUUAGGUUAAAUUUGCUACAGGUUAUGUCAAAUUGUGCGGGAGAAUGUCGGUAGUAAAAUGAACUUACUUAUGCACCUUAGUGUUUGUUAUCACACCUGAGUGUGUUGAGAUUCACAAUCUGAUUUUGAUGGAAGAAAGCGGGAAGAAACUAGUUAGCUACUUUCUUGAGAAUUCAUUUGUUCUCAAGAAACUCAUCCCGCGUUUUAGGGAUUCUUUAAUAUAUCUUACUCAGAUUUCUUCAAGGAGCUUCUUAAAUUCAGAAAGCGGUCUUGCAGUUGUCCGAUUAUUUUUCUUUGAGAAAUUGGCGAUUAGAGUUCAUUAUUUAUUUUGAUUUUGAGUAUCAUUGUGUAUGAAUUUCGUAUGGAUUGUAGAUUUUAUUAAAACCUGUUCCAUAAAGAUUUAUUUUUUGAUGGAAAAAGAGUAAACGACUUUAUAAGAUUUUGUUGCAGUUAAAAAUUAAAAGAUAAACAAAUAUAUAUUAUGUAUUUAUUUAUGAAAUAAGAAAAUUAAUUAAUACUUGAUUUGACAUUGUUAUCUUUAAGAAAUUUUAUACCUUCCAACAUGUUAAUAAAAUUGAUUACAUUAAAUAUAUCAACCGUGGCAGUUACAGCCCCCGAUUAAAGCAUUUGAUCUAGUCAGUAGAUUUCUUGGAAAUCAAGUUUCGAUUCCAUUUCAUUUGUGCAUGUUAAACGCCCUAGUAAUAGUUGUGCUGACUUCAAACAGAUCGGAGGCUUACUGAAUUUGAAUUUGGUCGACUUUGAGAAGGUGAACAAAAUUCGAUUGUGAGUUAUUUCAAAAACGUUUUUAUUGAUAAGAUGAAAAAGAGGUUACAGUGUUUGGACAUGUAAAGUAUAAAACACAAAUAUAAGUUGUUGUUUUUAACACUAGAUAAAUUACCAAUUACUAAUGAACAACUAUACAGAUAAUAAAGAGCCUACAAUACUUUGAAAUGUUCGAAGAGCUUUGCAUAUAAUAAUCUGUAAUAAACAAAACAUAAGUGUAAAAAUCUUUAAACAAUAACCAUUAAACUAUAGUGCUUAUACGAGUCGUAUUUGUUGAAAACAAAACAAGUAUGAGUCGUAUGACCUGAACAAAACAAAAUCGAAUAACAAACCGGAUCUAAUUGACCACUAACCGGAACCGGUUCAAUCGGGAAUUGACUCAAAUCCCAUUAAGCGGCGCAUCGCGAGAAAAAGAGCCAGCAACUGUUCAAAAUAUCUCAAUAGAUAGAUCAAAAAGCAAUCAUGGACACCAUCAUUCAUUAACAAAUAUCCUCUGAAACCUCCGUUUGAAUUAUUUCUAUCUUCUCACAUCGCAUCAUGGGUGCUUCAUCCUCUACAGAUAAUAAAGAAUCAUCGGAGAAGCGAGAAAUCGAAAGCCUCGCUGCUUCCACCGGUGCUCUUCCUCUGCUUCAACGAUUUUUCUCCAAGCUCGCCGAUCCUCAGACCAACACUGUUUCCUUCCAAUCAUUCAAGGUAAUAACGAUUAGGGUUCUGAUUGUUCUUAAAGAGAAUCUGGAUUUGCAGUUACAGUAGUUUUGGGAUUUGAUCGGAUCGUGAAUUAGUGUUUUGACACUGAGUUUGAUCGGAUCAUGAAUUAGGGUUUUGAGACGUUUCAUCAAUUUUUUUUUGUUUUGUUUCUUAUUGUAGAAAAGCUUCACCUUGAGCUACAAGACAACUACUUGUGAAGGAGACCAGAAAGUUCCAGAUUCGUUUCCGAGGUUGUUGGAGCAUUUAGGACCAUCUUUAGUAGAUUUGUUCUUCGUCCCUGAGAAAGGAGGAGGGUUGAGUUGGGUCGAGUUUGCUAGAGGUUAUGUCAAAUGCUGCGGAAGAAUGUCUGCCUCCAUGUCUUACAACACUCUGUUGAGAGUGUUUCAUCUGACAUCUCAAAACGCAGGCUUUUCCUCGAAGCUGGAGUUCGAAUCUGACGAAGCUGAUUGUAAGAUCAACGGGUCGGUUUCCACCGUAGAGUUGGUUAUGUUUCUGUGGAUGUGUUGGACGAUGUCGUGGGAUGGUCGAAGCAGUAGAUCCAGCGACUUGUUUCUUCCUGAUAUAAGCCACUUGGUUAUGUCAGCGCUUGUGUCUUGCACCGAGUCUGGAGCUAGUUUGGAUGUUUGGGAUUCUGAUGUUUUCGGAUUGGAGCUCGAGCUUCCUGUCGGGAAAUUCCUGACGUGGGCAUUGACGACGAUUCCAAGCCUCACUGAGUGUCUAUCUCACUUCUGCAACGCGAGGCUUCAGCAUUGUUUAAAUGCAGAGGUACUCUUUCUUUACCUGUUGCUUUUCAUUUAACCGUAUGGUGUUCACUAAAAGUGGAUUACAGGAUGGAUCUGGGCCUUCAAAGUCAGCUGGUGGAGAUGAUUCUGCGUCCAAGACAUGUGAUAACACUCUUCUAACAUGUGGAAGGGCAUGGGCGAUUUCUUUGACGUCCAAGAAUACCUUAAGUGAGGAGAUCUUGAGCUCAUGCUUUCCCUGCAAUGGCGAUGAACCCAAUGAAAAUCUUCUUUACCGGUAUCCCACUGUCCUACUUCUGUGAAGGUUCUGUCUCUAUAGUGUAACUUAACGUGUUCAAUGUUCAUCUGUCUUUCAGCUCAUACCAUCAUGGGAAAGGCAUGAAUCGAUUGUGGGACAACGUUCAAGGGUAUCAUGCUCCUAUACUAUUGCUAGUUUCUGCAAGCGGUGGAGUUGAGCAGGAGGGUAGUUCAAGCGAGAGGAAGUGGGUCAUUGGUGCUAUCUUGCAGCAAGGUUUUCAGAACAGAGAUACAUUUUACGGAAGCUCUGGGAACUUGUUCUCCAUUAGUCCUGUCUUUCACGCAUUCUCAUCUUCAGGUACUGCACACAUCAGAGAAUUUUCGUAGGCGUAGUCAGUUGUUUUGCAUUAGUGUAGUCUUAUAUGGUUUUGUGUUCAACUUCAGGGAAAGAGAAAAACUUUGCAUAUAGCCAUCUUCAUCCCUCUGGUAGAGUCUAUGACGCAAACCCAAAGCCUGUUGGAAUUGGUUUCGGGGGAACACAAGGAAACGAGAGAAUCUUCAUCGACGAAGACUUUGCUAAGAUCACAAUCCGUCAUCAUGCAGUUGAUAAAACUUACCAGCCUGGCUCUCUCUUCCCAAACCAGGUAACGCAAGUGCUGGUCUAUAUAUAUGAUUCAAGUUUUGUGGUCUUGGAUAUUUAUAACAUCUGUUGUUGCAGGGUUAUUUACCAGUAGAGGCUUUGGUGUCAGAUGUUGAAGCAUGGGCAUUAGGUGGAAAAGCAGCUAAGGAAGUUCAAGAAGCAUACAAGAAAAGAGAAGAGCUUUUCACUGACCAACGUCGAAAGGUAAGAAAAGAUCAAUAAGAUCUAUUUAUGCAAAUGCACAAAAGGACUUGCAAGUUUGACAAGUUGUUAUAUGUAUCUACAGAUUGAUUUGAAGACGUUUACGAAUUGGGAAGAUUCACCUGAGAAAAUGAUGAUGGAUAUGAUGGGGAAUCCUAAUGCUCCGGCUAGAGAAGAGAGGUAAUGAGUGAGGGGAGCAAGACUUGUUUGGUAUAUUUAUGCACAUACGUUUUCUCAAUAGAGGUUUCGUCUGUAAAGUAUAUAUUUGAAGAAACUCAUUUGCUGUUUGCGUAAGUUAUGUUUACUAUUAUCGUUGCCAAAACUCGAACCAGAGUGUUGAGUUUGAGAUUUACCCAAUAAAAAAGAGUUUUAUUUGAAGAGUUUUAUAGACGUUACAAUGAAUCAACAAGUAGAUAAUUGUGGUUUUAAGUUUCAACUAAGCAACUCUUUUCGUGUGAAAUGGUUUCCAGAGCUCUCUGCUUUCUGCUGAGAAUCAUCUCCAUCACUUUAUUCAUAGACUUGAUCUCCUCCUCUGCCUUCUUUAUCUUUCUUUCCUCCGACUCUUAUCUUCUUUCUUCUUUCUUCUUACCAAAACCAUUUUACUCUUUUCUUCAUCUCUUGCCUCACAGAUCCUACAACAAAGAAGGCCAUACCAAAACUUGGUUUUCUCUAAACCGAAUCAAUUUUAGUUAUAGUUCGGUUCAUCCUAACCCAAAAAAAAAACUAAAUGGCUUAAAAAUCGGUUAGACCUGAAUCUGGUUGCGUAAGCCUUUGGUAGAAGGUGAUGAACUUCAUAGAGAAGCUGUACAAGGGGGAUUAAAAUACUUGGUUUCUCUCCCAUUCAAGUUCCCUUACCUUUCUCUCACAUUCUUCUCUAUCCAUUCUCUAUCCAUUGUUCCUGUGUUAUUGUUAUUUUCUGGCCAUCUCAACCACCUAUGUAACUUCCCCAUCUGUUCUAGAGAAAUAGACCGAUGUAACUUCCCCAUCUGUUGAGUGGUACGGUAUUGUGCUCAAAGUCCCCUUGAAUACUAAAUUGGAAAUGUUGCUGUUGCUACGGUUUUGACGAUAGAAUAUAACUCAUAUGACAGGUUGGAAACUGAAUUAUUUUCUUUCAAACCAUGUCUUCAAAUCGAUCACAUUAGUUUUGGUUUUGCUUUUUGUUUCAAUGUUAAAUCAAUGUCCAUAAAAUUGGUUUUGUUCUUUUAUACUCUCACUAAAAAUAGCAGCAUUCUUAUUAAUAGAUGUAUACAUUGUGACAAAACUCAAUUCUAGUUAAUACAUCCUCUAUUUUUGAUGAAAAAUAUAAGUUAGAGAUGCUCUUACACAUUGAAUCCACAAGCUAAUGACCAACAAACUAGUUUAUUCAAAGUGCAUAAUUUACUAGCAAAACCUCCAUUAAAAACAGUGCUUGACAAACAUGAAUUCUCUCUUUCAAGCUCAAGAACAACGCUUAAACAAUAUAUGUAUCAGGUAGGAUUCAAAAGCUCUAAUCCGAAACAUGAAACAGAGUAUCACAAGGACAUGCAUAGGUAUUCAAAGCCUUAUCUGCUAUACUUCCUUUUAUCUGCUUUAAGUUUAUCCCUAAAAUCACACCAGUAUGUUGGCUCAUCUUGCAAAACAAGCCUCACCAGCUUCUUAUUGAGAAAAUGAAGACAUGAAUUAAACUUCAUGGUUUCUGAUCAAAAGUUGACAUCAAGAAAGAAACAAUACAAAUCUAUAUGUCCCAACCUGAAACCCAAAGCUUGAGACACAUAUCAAGAGUUAUACAUACCCAAAACUGAACAAGAGUAAACCCAAAUCAAGCGAGCAAGCAUAUCAUUGCUUCUUGUCUUCUGCUUUCCUCGGCUGCAAAAAAACAACAAACCAAACCAACACACACAAAGAUCAGUUCUCUCUUCCUCUCACAAUGAUAAAAUGUGUGAAAAGACAAACGGACCUUAACACCAGGAGCUUCUUGGUGAAUCUCUUCCUCAGGGAUGAUGACAGGCCACUGCUCCCCGGCUUCACGGAACAUCUGCUCCGUCUCGAGAUACUGCCCUUUAUCAAGAAUCAUCUUCCUGAUCGACUGAGCCGACGUGGCAGCCGCAUCGAAAGCUUCCUCGACACCAUUGACGAAAGUGACACUGAUCUGCGGUGGCUGAUCGUCGGUUCUGCGUUUCACCAGAACCUGACAGUUAGGGUUGGACUCUUUGGCCUUCCUCGCGUUGCACUGAGCCAAGAACUCGACGCAGGAGGCGAGUCUUGGGUCCAAUGUGUUGAACUCGAUCUUUACUUUUGAUAGGAACUUCAACAUCCUCUUCUCAAACCUAAAACAGUCAUUGAUAACAAAUCGUGAAGCGAGAUCUGAAGAUGAUUUCUACCAAAAUCUGAUAACCCAAUGAAAUUAAUAAGUAUACGAAAUUAAAUUGUGGGUUGAGAAGGAGAUCUCUGACUUACACAGGUCGACGGGGGCUCUCCGGCGAGAAUUGAUUUUAAGGGGAAAAUGCAGAAGAAACCGAUGCAGGUGGAAGGAAGACUGAAGAAAAGGGUUUUGGGCUUUCGACUGUGUAAAAGGACGAUAGUACCCUUAAUAUUUAUUCCCCUUUGCUUCGGUUUGGUUCGUUUUUCUGAUAGAGCCGCAGAGAAUUUUUGCAAUAAGGAUAGAUAACUAUUUUGAUUUUCUUGUAAUUGCAUUAACUUGAACUGAAGUACAAUGUUACAACGCUUAGGAAUCUAAAACAAAGCCCGAGAGAAAUAUGGGAGACACACUGCCGGCAAAGACACACCUUUCCAGAACCAUGACACUAAACAAGAGAAAUAAAGAAACUACAACAACAUAGACAACAAGAUUUUCAUCUAAAAACUUCAAUCUUUCCAUCAACACUGAUGAUAGGACCACGGCAAACCAACAUUGAAGAAAGGGAGAUAGCAAACCCCAACAGAAGUGUUAAAAACACCAGAUAAAGCACCAUUGGAAUAAAGGAUAAGGUGAUCUCUUGCUUAACCCUUGUCCCAAGGUAAUCAGAGACCCGGCGAAGCCACAAGUUCAAUACACCAUCCUACAAACAACUGUUGGAGACAACCACUCAACAAACCCAAACACUGGAAAGAGCAUGACACCUCAAAGAAACUACAAACCCCACUUCACAACCGGCAAGCGCAAAGAAGUAACCAGAACACGAACAACGCUCUGUAGCACCGGAAAAAAAAAACUGAUUUGGAGGAAGAAACAAAGCUAAUAUUGGAGCCACAAAGGAGACGACUCCCUUCCUACAGUUUCAUAAUGAAACACACCCGACAGGAAUCUGAACUUAUCAAGAAGAGGUUAGCAGCACAAAGGCAUUGCCCUCACUAGACGCCAAGAAACCCCAACCCGCAUGCGAGAACCGAGGAGAGGCCAGACCAGAACCCAACAACAUCAGAAGACUGCAUACCACCACACGAUCAGAGAACCGACGCAAAGACCAUCGAAAAGCAAACUCCACCAGAUCUACUACCACCCACAAAGAAAUAGGGAUGGCAAUAAAUAAUCUGGACCGCGGGCCUGACCCAUAAAGACUUACUGCGGGGCGGAAUCGGGCCACCUUGGUAAGCCCGCAAAAUAUAUAUGUAUUUUUUUUUUGAUAAAUGGUCAUGAAAACACACGAAGACAUUACAAAAUGAAGAUGCGAGUAUAAAUUAUACUAUCGUGAAAUUACAUCGCAGCUAUGAAUAUUACAUUUAUGUAACUUUAAAAUUUUAAAUUAUAUAUCUUCUUUGAAACGUUUGUCAUUUUUCUAUUAAUUUGGAGUAUUUCAGACCUGUGAAAAUCAUAAAUUUUAUCUUCUGUUUGGAUAUUUAAAUAAUCUGUAAAGCAUAAUUUCAUAUUAAUCUGUAAAGUAUAAUUUCAUAUCUACAAAAUCCUCUUGUAACCAACUAAACUAGAGAAGAAUUUAACAAAUAGUUGGCCCUUUAAAUACUUUAAUUAUCUAAGCCCCCAAGCACAUGCUUUACUUGCUUCCAUUCAGAGCAUCUAAAAAAAACUCUAUUUUGAAGUUUCUAAAACUCUAUAUUUGAAGUUUUAAGGUGUUUUUCUCCAAAAGCAAAACUUCAAACUUAACUUCAAAGCUAUUUGUAUUUUAUAAUAUGGUCCUAAUUUAAAUUCAUAAAACUUUUGUAUAUAACUAGCACAUAUGUAAACAUAUUACAAUAAUAUUAAUUAAUGAAAUAUUAUAUUAAAAUAUAAAAAUUUAAACAAAAUAACUUAACUAAUAUUAAACUUCAAGCAAAAUACCAUAUUAUUCCAUAAAGUGAUUUUCGUAGUGCAUAUAUGAUCUACUAGUGCAUUUUGAAUUAAAAAUAGUUUUCCUCAUUUUUAAUUUGUAGAUUAUAGAUAAUAAAUGUUGAAAUCGGGAGAUAUUAAUACUUGUAAAUACAUUAGAUCAGAACAAGAAAGUAAAAGACAAACAUAAAAUAUUUCUAAAAGACUAACUUUUAUCGAUGAUAUUAAUACUCGUGAAUAUAUUCAAUAUGAACAAGAAAGAAUUGUACGAAAAGAUAUCAUCAACAAAAACAACAACCAUCUUCAAUUACACCAAAAAACUAGACAAUAUUUGAAAUUUUGAAGGUUCCAGAUCAAACUUACCUAACUAUUAGUGUUAUUGUAUUAUUCAAAUUUGUGUAAUAGUUAUGUCUUUAUAUAAUUUUUUAAAAGUUUUUUUGUUAAGUUUCUUUUGUAUAUUUCUGUUAUAUAAAUCUAGUUUUAAAUAUUUUAAAUAUUCUUUUAACAAAAUACAAAUAAAAAUAUGAAACUUCAAAUUUGAAGUUUUGAGUAGUGAAACUUCAAAUAUAGAGUUUCACCUCUCAAAACUUCAAAUUUGAAGUUUUGAAGUUCAUUUUUAGAAAGUAAAAAGCUUUAUAUUUGAAGUUAUAGAGUGUCUUUUGUAGAUGAGCAUGGCUCUAUGUCUACUACUAUACUAUGUGAUUGUAAUUGGUUUAAGAUAUUUAAAGGUGUAUAGUGAUUCAGUUAUUGUUUAUGUAUUUAGGCAGUGCUGAAAAAUUAAUUCACGCAUGUUCAAUUUGAUGUUAGCAUUUUAAAAUCAGGUCGUAUGAAAGCAAGAUGAUCACCUAGACAAUUUUGAGUUUGACAUAACAAUAUAAUAUUUGAUAAAAUCUUUCAAACUUUGUUAAUAUGCUCACAAGUCAUAGUAUUACUAUUUGGUUGGUGGCCUAACACAUGUCUUUCGUCAUUGUGAAUAACAGUAAACAAAAUUGGUUUCUCACUUCUCUAGUUUCAAGAUAAAAUAUAGUAAUAAAUUUAAUGUUCUGGGUGGUAAAUUAUGAAAAAGAAGCAUCUCAUUAUAGAAACCUUUUUGGGUUAAGUAAAUGUUAUAAUCAUUCAAAAUUAGUUAUAAACUAGUAGAUUGCUGUCCAAAAAAAAGACUAGAUUAGGUCUAAGCAUUGCACAAGACAAAUGUAUUUAUUAUAUUAUUUAACUAACAAAUCUAUUAAAAUGCUAAUUCUACAUUGCAAAAUAAAUUGACUUCAUUAUUUUUUACAAAAAAUGUAACAAGAAUCUUCAUAUCUCACACGAACACAUGAAUUACAAGUCUACAACAGAUAUUACACCUCAGAAAUUCCAAAAGCAACCCGAUUCUCCCAUACCGGCUAAAGCGGAGGGGUCAGUACCAGUACCGGGGAACUGGGUUUCGUGACUGUUAAGCAACAGUUUCAUUAGCGAAUCAUUGUCUGUUAGAAACAGAGGAUCAGGGUAAAACAGAGGACCAGAACCGUCUUUGGACUCGAGAUGAAUGAGUCUUUUAUCUUCGGUUUCUUGGUCGGAGAAGCAGGUCACGUGAGUAGACGAACCAGGGAAGGAAUCUCGUUGAGAAGAAUCCAUCAACGAAGGUAAUCCGACCGGUUCAAUCCGGUUAACGUGUGAAUCAAGCAACAUUAAAUGGGACAUAUCAACCUUUGUACCAUCGGCACGUUUAUGGAAAACACGGCAAAUAACCCAAUCGUUCUACAUUCACACACAACAAAACAGAACACAAAAUAUCAAUUCAAUUCCACACAAAAAAAGACAAAAAAUGUCUUUGAUGUUAUUGUUACCUUAGCUGUCUGGGAGAGAUGUUGGAUAGAAUAUAUGCCUUCUAAUCGAUAUUCAUGCAUAACCCAAUUGGUUCUUACUCCUUUAGGAGCUCUUCCUUUGUAGAAAACCAGAGUCUUCUUCAUACCCACAAGUGAUUUCCCCUUGAAAAUCUCUUUAUCUUUGCCUGUGGCUUUCCAGUAACCGGCUUCAGUUGCCCGGUUUGUCCUUAAACCGGUUGGGUAUUUCCGGUCUCGCACACAAAAGAAAUACCAUUCUUUCUCCCCUAUCUUAGCUUUCCCUAUUUCACCAAAAGCCAUCACAUAUAUAUUUGUGAGUAAUAAUAAAUUACAGAACAAUAAUAACUAACAUAAAAAAGUUUAAAAAAGGUGGAAAAAGUUUAGAAAAGGCAUGAUACUUCAUGCAGUCUCAAACCAUUUGUAAAGUUUUGUGGAAUCAUGUAUAUUAAACAUAUAUAUUAUUUUUUUUUAACUUCAGAUAUAUAAAUUCAUAUUUACAGCUUUUGUUAUAGUACAAACGUUUUUUAAUUGCUGGAAAGGUUGUACACUUACUUGGUAACUCCCAAGGCUCGAUCUUGUUGAGAUCAACUUCACCAAUGGCGGUGGCAGAGAAGAAAGUGUUGAAGACCUUUUGUUUGAGAUAGUGAGUUAUGAGUUCUUCAUCAGUAGGGUGAAAUCUGAAUCCAGGUGGCAGAUCAAUUUGCUCUUCAUCUUCUACUAUUUCACCGAUUCUUGAUGCAUCGUAAUCCAUUUAUCCUAAUAAAGUUUAUUAGAAACAAUCAAAGUUAUGUAAGAGAGAAGAGAAGGGUUUUUGAAGAGAUGAAUAAAAGGGUUUUGAAGAGAGAGAGUGUGUUUUUUAAGAGAGAAGAGGAAAGGGUUUGAGCAACGAAGCUCCUCUCUAUAUACUAGUUUUCCAUCAGAGAAAUAAGGAAAUAAUAUUAUUAUUGUUGAUAUUGACCAAUAAUUGGUCAAUCUUUUGUGUAUCAAGUUCUUCUUUCAAAGUUUCAAACUAUGAGUUGUAUUGAAUUUCAAGAGUUUUUACCUACUAUAAAGAAAACUUUUAUCUUCGCUCUAAAUGAUUUAUUGUAUAUAAAUGGGUUUUCCGAUUUAAAUCUCGUACAGCCAUCAAAUCAUAUUAUAAAUCAGAAAAUGGGUGUACACACACAUUAACACAUACUAUAGUUAGUUUUCUUAGUAUGAUAGAGAAAGAGGAAGAUGCGUCGAUUGUUAGGCAACUUAAGAUGUGUAAUAUUCAAUAAUCAUUUCUCAUCAUUAAAAAUAAACCUUUCUAUUUCAAGAACUUUAAUAUUUCCAAGUUUCAAUUUGACCAGGAACACUUCACCUGUGGCUCCCUGUCCCUUUUUUGGUUAAUGUGAUAAGAACAAUCUUAUCACAUUAAAUCCUGAUGUUUUGUCCAUUCUUGAAACUAAUUAUUAGUUGCUGGAAAAAGAAUAUCAGUAGAAAACUAUGAUUAUUGGUUUGAAAACAUUUUACAUUGAAACUAUAUGAUUAUAUAAUUGAAACAUUAUAAAUUACCGCGGGUCACUAUUAUUGGUGUUGUGAUUCAGGAUAACUAUGAGAAAAGAGUUUACCAUGGUUGGAUAUAAUUUGUUUUAUUUACUUAACAAGUGUUAUCCCUCUCAUGAAAAGAUUAUGCAUGCAUGAACCUUGGAAAGUAGAUUCUUUAGUAUUAAAGGAACUCUUUUCUUUGUCCUAUUACAGUGCCUACCGUUAUAAGAAAUUAUAAUACUAGUAUGCAAGAUUUUUUAAAAAAGUUCAGUGAAAAAUUGGAAAGAAAAACGAUUUCCUUGUGAAGAUGGGUAAUGAUGAUGAAUGGAUGAGGAUUGUGAUGAUGAAAAUCUGUUAGAAUGUGAAGACAUUUUGAACAACCUCAACCUUAUCAUAUGUGAAUUAUUUGAUUUUUUUAAUGAUCGAAUCACGCGUUUGUGCAUACGAGGUUGUCAUUUGUCACUUCUACAACAUGUGCAUUUUAUUCUUUUCUAGCCAAAUUUCUUCCUCAGUAUUUUUAUUAUACUUGCUGUUUAAAUCCUUAUAUAAUCGAUGUAUUGGUAUUUUUAAUCAACUAUAGUUAUCAUAAAUUGGAAUUUGGAUCGAUACUGGAUAUAUAAUUUAUAUCUUUCUAUUGCACUCUUUUCUUUUCAACUAAUUUCCCAGACUCAAAAGAGAAAAGAUACAUAAGUUGCCAGAAAAAAAAUCAAUGUAUGUUUCACACUAAAAGAGCUAAUGACAAAAUUCAUAGUACAACAAAAAGAAUAUCAAUUCUAGAAGGCCAUAAAGCAACACUCAAGUGAUUGAUGGAACACGUGGAUUUUUCAAAUUAUGUUCCUUCUUCUCAAAAACCCGUUUAAGUUUCCUUGCCUUUUUGACCAAAUUCCCCAAUCUAUCAUUUGUCAAGUUGCUCCUCCAAAAAAUUGCUUAUACUCUUUUUAACAGAGAUGAGUAGGGUUACAUAGACAAAUUGGUUAUAUAUAUUAGGGGUGGGCAAAAAACCCAAACCGAACCGAACCGAACCAACCAAACCGAAGUUAAACCGAACCAAACCAAACCGUGCUCUUUAUGUAACCCAAUUGGUUCAUGUUUUACUCAACCCGAACGGUUUGGUUUGGUUUGGGUUUAAACCGAACCAAACCGAACCAAACCGAUAAUCCAAUAUAUAUAUAGUAAAAAUAUAUAUGAUAUAUAUAUAUGUAUUAACAUAUUGCAAAUUUUAGUUAAAGUUUCGUUUUUCAUUUUUUCAUAACUUCCAUAUCUUUAAAAAAAAUUAUAAAUACGAUUCAAAUAAUACUAUUAUAUAUAAAAUCAUGUAGCAUAAGUUUUUAUAUUCUCACUCUAUCGUUUAUGAGUUGAUUAUUUUUUAAUAAAAGUAUAAAACUAAUGCCUUCAUAUUUUAUAACCAACCCAAACUACACCGAACCAAACUAGACCAUAAUAAUGUAAACCAAACUAAAUCUAAACCAAACCGAACUGAACCGAACCGAAUUAAACCCAAACCGAACCCAACCCAAAGCUACUUUGGUUUUAAUUGGUUUGAGUUUUAUAAAACCCAAAUUACCCAAACCAAACCGAACCCAAACCGAACCCGAAACUAAACCGAAAUGCCCACCCCUAAUAUAUAUAGGGGUUAUUUGUGAAAUAACCAAAAAAGAGUAAUUAGUAUUUUUUAAUGAGAGGUUAGAAAGAAAUAGGAAGAGAAAUGAGGAAAGAGAUGGUUGUUUUGGUUAGAAAAUGAAUUUGAGGUUUUUAUGUAUAUAGGGACAUAUUUCCCUUAUAUACUUUUUGUUUUCAAAAACAAAAACCAAUAUAACUACCGCAUCAUUAUUUUUCAGUUUGUUACUGUGAAUGUUUUUGAUUUGAACGCCAUUGACUAGAUCAUGUCCAACUUCUUCAUGACCAUUAUUCCACUAUCUCUUUAUCAUGGCCUAAAACCUCGCGCAUUCAUAUCAAAAAUCUCAUUAGAAUCGAAUUGGAGAGUUUUCAAAACUCUAAUGCUUCUCCAUAUCAAACAUCUCAUUAAAAUCGCCAAAUAUUAUUCACUACUUCUUAGUUCUUACCUAUUAUGGGAGAGUUGUGAUGAUCCAUCAGUUCCCCAUAUAGAACUUCUACCGUUAUCGCUCUUCCUCGAAGUUAGAAGCGUAAAGUGUUUUAUGAUAAAAAGACAGAAAGGAAAUGGGAUGGCAAGAAACUUAUAGAAUUUUUGUUAUGAUCUAUAAUACAAUUAUUAUUACUUCGAUUUGUUUGAUUAUUUUUUACUCGUGGUUCUUUUACUAAUUGAUUAGUUAAGUUUGGCUACACUUGUUGUCUUAUAAGAUUGAUAUCGUAGAAAAGUGAGAAGCUUACAAAUCAGUUUGACGUUUUUGAUUGGGACUCGGAUAUAGUGGAUUCAGAGGAAGUGGAUGAAGAUUUCAUUGUCGACCUAAUGACUCUAUCAACUAGCAGACUUCUUUAGGAUAGGUUGGUGGCAAUUUCUGAAAUGCAACAGAGAUGAAUGCUACUUUAAGCUCAACUCAACUAAGGCAAAAGGAAGUCGAAUACAUAGGAAACAUGGUUGACGUGGUGGGUUUGGCUAACCUCACUAUGGUGACCAUGGAUAUCCUCUAGAUAGUUUUAGCUCUUGCCCGUUUCACUUUUAAGCAUUCAAGUUGCUUACUUGUUGCUUGUAAAACCUUUUCUAAAUUGCAACUGUUGGCUUUACUGUUGGCUUAAUAUAUAUGUACAAUGAGAAGGUCUAUUAAUAUUCAAUGGUGUGAGUUCUUCUACACACAUUUUCUUAGUGUGAGCCCGUCCCGUGCAUCAUAAACGUAGACCUCAUGUCGAAGUAGAACAUUCAAUUAUUUUUAUGAGAUGAGAGCAUAUAUCUACUACGAACAAAAUGCAUAUUAUUUUACUAAACAAUUGGGACGAAGAUAAUUUGUAUUAUUCGUUCCAAGUCCAACUGAGACAUUUUUUGCCAAUCAAUACAUUAUAUUAAAAUCUUCAAAUGAAGAUGAUGCAUACAAUACAAAAUUGAAAAGAUAAAUGGAAUGAUAAAAAGUUAGAAAAGAAAAGUAUAAGCCUAACAUCCAUGAGUCUCUAGCCUACUUCAAUUCUUGAAUGGAGCUAAACCAGACUUUCCAGUGGUAAAUAAAACUGAAACGUUCUUCUCGAUUAAUUGAGAUAUGUUGGCUAUUAACAAUGAUGAGUUCAUUUGCUAAGAACUUUAUGCUAUUUUUUUUUUAAUCAAAAUUUCUAAAGCUAAUCCUUUUUUCUAACACCUUUCUAAAGCUAAUCAAUCGUUUCCUUUUGUUUUAGGCUUUUAGCAGUUCUUUCCUUUUCAGGAAAUAUAAACUAAAUUCUAUAAAUCUUUUGCUACUUGGUGGUGCCAAAACCACGUGUCGCUUGAUUUUUUGAAACGGCAAGAGUUUCAUACGUAUCGCCAACCCCAACCUUCUCUUGGACACGACACAAGUAAGACGAAUUCCAAAAUAGACACGUGUUUGGAUACAAAUGGGAGUUAAUAAGUAUCAAACGCUAUUCUUAAUUAUCGUAAUUCAGUUGCUGAAAAGAACUGAUUUAGCUAAUUAAGUGGAAUUUCACUAAUUAAAGUUUGACCAGCUUCCUGAUUCGAAACAUGAGUUGCCAGUGGGAACAAACACGACUCAAAACUCCGUUACCAUGAUUCUGUGCAAGACCCAAUGGAGGAAAUGAUGGAUGCAGACUCUUCAGGAUGAUUGCAUGAACUUUGACUGACGUAGAAGUCCGGUCCACAGAGAUCCUAAGAGUUUUAAAUGUUGUUUCGAUGAGUAAUGCAUAACACUAUUAAUUAGUUUCCAAAAUUGGACUGGUUAAGGUAUUCUCAAGAUGAGUUAUAUUGGGUGCUAGUAUUGUAUAUAGGUUUAUUCAGUACGCUAUAUCUUUUUGUGGCGAUGUUUUGUCCUGAGAGAUUCUUUUAUCACUACAAGAAAACAGCUUGUUUCCUACAGACGAUUUAGUCGAAAUAAGCCAUUUCUGAUGAAUUUCGUUGGUUCUAUCUCGUCGAAAAAAAAACGUUUGAAUUUCGUCGGAUUUCUGACGCAUUUCCGACGGACAAAUUUCCGACGAAAUACCGACGAAUAAAUUUCCGACAAAAUACCAACGGAUAAAUUUCUGACGAAAUUCUGACAAAUCUUAUCCGUCGAAACUUUUGUAAACUAUUUUUAAAAUAAAAUAAAUUUUAUUUUAAAUAUAAUAUUUAAUGAAUUACGUAUAACAAAUUUUAAAAAUCAUUUAUAAUAAAUAUUUUUAAUUCUUUAUAUAUAAAUAAAAUAAAAUUUAAAAUUAGGAAAACGUUUUAACUAAAUCUUUUUUGUAAUUGAACCCAUUUCCUAGAAAUUAAAAACAUUUUAAUUAAAUCUAAAAAAAAACAAAAACUUUUUAUAGAUUGAAAAGGUUUAAAAAAAUGUGAAAAACGUUUUGAUAAUCUUUAGUAACCAGAAAAUGUUUUAUAAAUUAUAACAAACAAUAAAAACUUUUUAUAAGAACUUAAAUUUUUUUUUUUGAUGAAUUUUUUUUUUAAAGUUUAAAACGUUUUAUAAAAUCAUAAAAACGUUUUAAAACAACAAUAAUAAUAAAAACUUGAAAAUGUUAUAUAUAUAUUUAUUUAUUCUAAUAAAACUCCAAAAAUGUUUUAAAAUUUGAAAAAACAUUUUAUAAAUAACAAAAAAAAGAUUCACAAAACAACAAAUUAAAUAAACAAACUACAAAAUCACAAGCAAAACCUAUCUAAACCACAACAUAACAACAAAAUCUAACAUCUAAUUCAUAAUAUUCUUCAUCCUAACAUAAAUCCAACAUUCAAAACCUUAAAUUCACAAUUUCACAAUCAAAAAGUAACAUAAGUCAAAUGAGAAAAGGAAAGAGAUGACUUACAUAAUUUGUGAGGUGGAUUUGAGGAGUUUGAGCUUAGAAUCGUUGGAUUAGAGAGAGAGAAUCAAAGAGAAUUUGUGUAUGUUUAGAGAGAGAGAGAGGAGAAGUGAGGAAGAAGAAGGGGCUUGCGCUUUUAUAUUAAAAAUUUCUGACGGAUUGGAUUCAUCAGAAAUCCGUCAAAAUUUUUUAUUUUGACGUUUCACGAAAAAUUAGGCAGGGUUUUUCGGGGCAAAUUUCAAUUUCCGACGAAUAUACCAUUUUCGUCGGAAAUUCGCCGGAAUAUAUCAUUGUCGUCGGAAUUCGACAGAAAUAUAUUUGUCAGAAAUUUCCUACGAAUUUUGAACGAAUUAUAAUAGCCAUCGAUAAUAAAUUGAUGACUUUUAGGGUUUAAAAUCUUCAUAAUGUUUAGAAACACUUGAAAACACACAAACUAAAGAUUGCAAGAUGGAUCACCGAAAAGUAUUUGCUUAAGUGUAUAAGUGUUAACGAGAAAUAUUAGGUAUCCGUCCAUGCAUCAAUCGCAAGAAUAUAUAUAUAGCUUAAAUAAUUGAGGCAAUAUUAAUCUACAUCAUAUUUAUCACUUAAUAUAUCCGGAUGAACAUUUAUUUUGAAUAUUUCAUAUCUAAACUCAUGGUCGUCGAAAAUUCGUUGGAAAUUUGUGUCGAAUAUGCUACGAAAAUUUCGCAAUCCAUCAGAAUUUCGUCGGCAAUUUUCUAGGAAGAAAUUUGUCAAAAUUUCGUCGGACAUUUCUGACGAAUUUCCUACAGAAAUUUUUCAUUUCGUCGGAAAUCCGUCAGAAAUUUCUGAUGAAUUUCCGACGAAAACAUAAACCCCAAAUCUAUACCCUAAAUCGUGUAAUCUUCCUUGGGAGUCGUCGGUAUUUUGUCGCUUAUUUUUGAUGAAAGAAAGUUCGUCGGAAAUUCCUAAGAUAUUUCCGACAAAUGGUAAAAUUUUAUAUUUCUCGAAAUCCGUCAGAAAUUUCUCAGAAAUUUCCGACGAAUAUUUCUUCCGUCAGAAAAUGAAUAUGUUUUCUUGUAGUGUAUUGCACAUGGCCAUUUGCUAAUAAUCCAGUUUUAUGGAAUGGAUCUUGUGUGUUCACGAGGUUCAUGUGGCAGUCUUUUUCAACGAUUGGGACUUGGCUUUGUUUUAACUAGUUUUUCUAGGUGUUCCGGAUUAAUGAAAAUUCUAAGUUGGAAUUGCAGAGGACUCAGGAGUAAAUGGAUUAUUAGUUAUUUGAGAGAAAUUAGGGGGAAAUAUAAACCAGCGUUUCUAUUUUUAUCGGAAACCAAACAGCAAUUUGAUUUUGUGCAGUCUUUUUAAUUUCAUUUUGGAUAUUCUCAUCUCCAUACGGUUGAUCUUAUAGGGAGGAGUGGUGGGCUGGCUCUAUUUUAUGAUUCCACUUAUAAGGUAUAUAAACUCUUCAAGCAACAUAAUUAUAGACGUCGAGACAAAAUAUAACGGAAAAUGAAUUUUUAUUUCACUUGUUUAUGGCGAGUCAAAUCAAAAUUUUAGAGACCAGAUUUGGGAGAGGCUUACAAUAGGGAUCUUGAGGGACGAACCAUGGUUUAUUAUUGGAGACUUAAAUGAGAUUACGGGUAAUCAUGAGAAACAAGGAGGAGUUCUUAGACACGCAGAUACGUUUUUACAAUUCAAUAAUAUGAUAGAGAACUGUGGUCUGAUGGAGUUUCCAAGUCUUGGUAAUACUCUUUCUUGGAACGGAAGAAGAGCUGGACAUGUGUUAAGUGUCAACUGGAUAGGGCAUUGGCAAACAAUGAAUGGCAUAAUCUGUUUCCUUGCUCUUUUGUUGAAUACUUGGGUAUGAUUGCCUCUGAUCACAGGCCGAUUGUGGCAUCAAUAGAGGAUAAAGUACUAAACUUUUGACGGUAAUUUAGAUUUGAUAAAAGAUGGAUAGGUGAGGAUGGACUGAUGGAAUCUAUUGAACGUGGAUGGUCCACUCAGAGGGGUGGACGCCGCAUGGGUAUAGUAGAUAAAAUUCAUAAUUGUUGACAUGAAAUUUCUGUUUGGAAAAAGGAAAAUCCACCUUAUGGGAAGGAAAAAAUAAAUACUCUUCAGAGGGCUCUGGAGGAUGAUCAAAGCGAUUUGACAAAAUCUCUUGAAGUAGUGAUUGAGGUGUCCAGGAAACUAAAAGAGGCAUAUCGAGAUGAAAAAUUAUAGUGGGAACAGAAGAGUAGAACUUUGUGGCAUACAUGUGGAGAUAGAAAUACUAAAGUAUAUCAUGCUUUAACCAAACAAAGACGCAUACAAAACAUGAUUAUUGGUUUAUAUAACGAGGAUGGGGAUUGGAUUAAUUCAGAAGGUGAUAUGGAAAGUGUGUCGCUUAAAUAUUUCAAUGAUCUGUUCCAGUCUACCCCGCCUUCAGAGUUUGAUAGGUUUCUAGAGGAAGUUCCAACUUGGUAACAACUGCUCAAAAUAAUAGACUAACGGCUCAUGCUUCAAAGGAGGAAGUUAGGACGUCAUUAUUUAUGAUGCACCCGGAGAAAG
RNAcentral lists this long non-coding RNA (43393 nucleotides) under Brassica napus (rape). RNAcentral's name for it is "long non-coding RNA (BNAP_LNC003521)". The record is from RNAcentral. Lineage: Eukaryota; Viridiplantae; Streptophyta; Magnoliopsida; Brassicales; Brassicaceae.